Molecule: non-coding RNA, 22 nt
Filed under: Mus musculus (house mouse)
Lineage: Eukaryota; Metazoa; Chordata; Mammalia; Rodentia; Muridae
Source: RNAcentral
GAGGCAUUGAGAGGACAAAAGG